GUGCUGGAGAAUCCUUGUUUGAGGAAGAAGGUGGACAUUUCGAAGGACCCCACAGAACAGAUUCAAUAGAAAGGGAGGAACUUGGAGAAUGGGAUAGAGUCUUUAUAAGAAACAGGAUGUGAGGAUGUACAGAAAAAGUAAUUGCGGCAGUUGUUUGUUUUUUAGUAUAUAUUGGUGAAGGGAAGAGGAGGAAGGUUCUGGAGGACUGUAGGUAUCUUCAAGUUGUUAUAAUGUCGAAGCUACGGAUGCUCAGCUGCCAUCUUUCACCGCUGGGCUGAUUCACUUUUACCACCACCUGCGCUGUAUCCACCAUCAUUGGAAUUUCUUGCCACUGCCCACCUCAUCAAUGUUACUGUGAUGCCCUUCCACCAUGACUUCAACAGUGCUGGACCCAACUAACAAUGAAUGCUGCGCAGGACAAUUCUUCCCCUCCCACUAAGACUCAUCUCCGGCCCAGAAGAGAUGUCCUGAACUUUGGAACCAGGUCCUGAACCAGCAGAUGGUUAAGAAAAAAGUUGUUGCAAUUUUAAAAGCAAAAUAUGAGCUCUUGCAGUGCAGUGGCAAUGUCCCUAUCUCUGAUCCAGAAGACCUAUGUU
Chiloscyllium plagiosum (whitespotted bambooshark) is the source of this 596-nucleotide non-coding RNA. The record is from RefSeq and is a predicted model, not a curated record. Lineage: Eukaryota; Metazoa; Chordata; Chondrichthyes; Orectolobiformes; Hemiscylliidae.